GAUGAGGAUGUAAUAACCCUAAUUGCAUCUAAGUGUUAUUUUGAUGACUUAAUCACUAAUUAAACAGUUAGUAGCUUAAGUCAUGAGUAUGAGAAUGAUGACAUGAUUAGUAAAUUACACUAAGUAAUAAGGGCAAUAGAGACUUUACCCAUGGAAUUGUAUAUAAACAUGGAUUUAGAGAGAUGUUUCACUUUUCCUUUC
Molecule: long non-coding RNA, 201 nt
Filed under: Lathyrus oleraceus (garden pea)
Lineage: Eukaryota; Viridiplantae; Streptophyta; Magnoliopsida; Fabales; Fabaceae
Description: Pisum sativum (pea) long non-coding RNA (PSAT_LNC000094)
Source: RNAcentral